GGAAACAGGUGCUAAUACCGGAUAAUAAAGCGGAUCGCAUGAUCAGCUUUUGAAAGGCGGCGUAAGCUGUCGCUAAGGGAUGGCCCCGCGGUGCAUUAGCUAGUUGGUAAGGUAACGGCUUACCAAGGCGACGAUGCAUAGCCGAGUUGAGAGACUGAUCGGCCACAUUGGGACUGAGACACGGCCCAAACCCCUACGGGAGGCAGCAGUAGGGAAUCUUCCACAAUGGACGCAAGUCUGAUGGAGCAACGCCGCGUGAGUGAAGAAGGUUUUCGGAUCGUAAAGCUCUGUUGUUGGUGAAGAAGGAUAGAGGUAGUAACUGGCCUUUAUUUGACGGUAAUCAACCAGAAAGUCACGGCCAACUACGUGCCAGCAGCCGCGGUAAUACG
Molecule: ribosomal RNA, 389 nt
Filed under: uncultured bacterium
Lineage: Bacteria
Description: bacterial SSU rRNA
Rfam family: Bacterial small subunit ribosomal RNA
Source: RNAcentral